UCACAAGGGGAGCUUGUAUUACAGGCUGAGAGGAAGUUGCGAACUUCGACCCAUAACCUGAUUUGGAUAAUGCCAACGUAGGGAUGUGUUA
RNAcentral lists this non-coding RNA (91 nucleotides) under Mediterraneibacter glycyrrhizinilyticus. RNAcentral describes it as "TPP riboswitch (THI element)". It matches the Rfam family "TPP riboswitch aptamer (THI element)", at positions 7 to 92 of the family's 105-position model. From Rfam's summary of the family: Vitamin B(1) in its active form thiamin pyrophosphate (TPP) is an essential coenzyme that is synthesised by coupling of pyrimidine and thiazole moieties in bacteria. The previously detected thiamin-regulatory element, thi box was extended, resulting in a new, highly conserved RNA secondary structure, the THI element, which is widely distributed in eubacteria and also occurs in some archaea. Lineage: Bacteria; Bacillati; Bacillota; Clostridia; Lachnospirales; Lachnospiraceae. The record is from RNAcentral.